AGACGUCUACAUUAGAUACCCGCGUAGUCCCAGCCGUAAGCUAUGCGCGUUAGGUGUAUCGGUGACCACGAGUUACCGGGGUGCCGAAGGGAAACCGUGAAACGUGCCGCCUGGGAAGUACGGUCGCAAGGCUGAAACUUAAAGGAAUUGGCGGGGAGCACCACAACAGGUGGAGCCUGCGGUUUAAUUGGACUCAACGCCGGGAAGCUCACCGGAUAGGACAGCAGAAUGAUUGCCGGGCUGAAGACCCUGCAUGACUAGCUG
Molecule: ribosomal RNA, 264 nt
Filed under: uncultured archaeon
Lineage: Archaea
Description: partial 16S ribosomal RNA
Rfam family: Archaeal small subunit ribosomal RNA
Source: RNAcentral